GUGUAAAGGCCUACCAGGCAACGAUGGGUAGCUGGUCUGAGAGGAUGAUCAGCCACACUGGAACUGGAACACGGUCCAGACUCCUACGGGAGGCAGCAGUGGGAAUAUUGGCAAUGGGGGCAACCCUGACCCAGCAACGCCGUGUGAGGAAGAAGGUUUUCGGAUCGUAAACCUCUGUCAGGAGGGAAGAAGUGCAUGCCAAGUAAUAUGUGGUAUGUUUGACGGUACCUCCAAAGUAAGCACCGGCUAACUCCGUGCCAGCAGCCGCGGUAAUACGGAGGGUGCGAGCGUUAUUCGGAAUUACUGGGCGUAAAGCGCGCGUAGGCGGCGCGGCAAGUCAGAUGUGAAAGCCCCGGGCUCAACCUGGGAAUUGCAUUUGAAACUGCCGUGCUUGAGUAAGGUAGAGGGUGGCGGAAUUCCCGGUGUAGGAGUGAAAUCCGUAGAUAUCGGGAGGAACACCAGUGGCGAAGUCGGCCACCUGGGCCUUUACUGACGCUGAGGUGCGAAAGCGUGGGUAGCAAACAGGAUUAGAUACCCUGGAGUCCACAC
Molecule: ribosomal RNA, 549 nt
Filed under: uncultured delta proteobacterium
Lineage: Bacteria; Deltaproteobacteria
Description: bacterial SSU rRNA
Rfam family: Bacterial small subunit ribosomal RNA
Source: RNAcentral